Maylandia zebra (zebra mbuna) is the source of this 169-nucleotide non-coding RNA. The record is from RefSeq and is a predicted model, not a curated record. Lineage: Eukaryota; Metazoa; Chordata; Actinopteri; Cichliformes; Cichlidae.
AUUCACCUUCAGCUGCUCCAACGCCACAAGUACAGAAGCUGCACAAACACAUUAACAAUCUUCCAGAAGAAUACAGGGAGGCUGCUAAAACAUUGUUGGUGGCCUAUCAAAAACGCCAUGAGGAUGAUAAAAUCAACAAAUUCUUCAAAUGCUUCGUUGAUUUCGUGAC